UAAAGUAUCAACAAGAAGACAUGAUGAACGUUUUUGAGCUAAUAAUUUUUUGUGUGUAGAUUUUCCCCAAAAUGGUAGCAUCAUAUAACGUGGCAGGUUGUGUAAUGUUUUUCUGUCACUUUAGGAAAACGGCAUGGCCUUAAGCAGGCAGAGAAGAGUGAAAGUGUUUGGGGAACUAGGAAGUUAGUAUUGAAUAUGCUGUCUAACUUGGACAAAGAUGCACAGGAAAGGGGAGAGUUUAUGCCUUUCAUUCAAAAAUAAGAGUUUCUCAACAGUUUUUGGUUUUAAAUGAUUCCUUUUUUGACACACAAUAAACACCUCACCUUUGAAUAAAAUAAGAAACAGGCCGUUUCUCAAUAUGCGUUCUUAUCCGUACUUGCGGUCUCGCGUUCUCGUGAAAGCCAUCAGUCGGAAACCGAGUACUGUUCCAAUUCAAAGAACGCAUCUGACCGAGAAUGGAAGUAAUACCCGGAAAUGUUCUCGCUCCGCCCUUAUUUAUCGAGACUGCAUCGGACCAGACUUGUGCGGACUUGGAGCGGCCAAAUAACCCAUAAUGCAUUUCACAACAAACUGGACGGCGAAAUGCCGGAUGACAAAUCACAUAACUGUGAGUAACAAAUUUGAAAUAUUAGCAUUGUUGUUUAACGGAAUGUAGUUUUAAGAGUUUUUUAGGCGAGAAUAUAGUUUAAAAUGUUGAUAUGGGGUCAGUAUUUCAAGUUAAAGCUUAUUUGAAAAUUUGCUCUGACGAUUGCGGAGAUCCGCCGACGGGACCGCUAUCUGUGGCUGUUUUCUCUUUCUCUGUGGUGGUUAAACAUGAGAAAUAAGCCAUUUUGGGUAAAUCUAACAGUGUGUGUGUAAAUUUGUAUUUGUUUCUGAGAAAAUCUGCUUGGCUGAGGGCAAAAUUCAUAUUAAAAGCUAUUGAACUUCACUUUAACGUUUAAAAUGAGAGCUGAAAGUGUACUAUUGACAAUUGUUUUGUCUCGAUCGUGCAUGUCUUCCACAUGUUAUACUGGUGAAUGCUGUGCAUUUUAAGUAACAUCAUGCACUAUUUUAAUCAAGGGACGACUGAGGAAACGAGAGCCCUCAUUGAGUGGCGAGCCACUCAAUGAGGGCCUUUUCACGGGGAAGAGGAACUCCUCCAGAUGUGGAUGGGAAGACUUUGUGACUGCAUCUGGAAUACAAAUAACAGCAAAAGAGGCAAAGAAGAAGUGGACUAAUCUAAAGGCCAAAUACAAGGUAAUUGCUUUGAAUUACACCAGAGAUGCCUCCUGAGAUUGCUAUUAAAGAAACUUCUUAAACUUUAGUUUGCCAGCCCAUAUAUGAAACCUAACACAGACAACAGAACAGAUGCAGUGGUCCUGAAAUGAAGUGAACUUCAGCAGUGUGAAUAUGUUUAGACAUUUGGCUUCUCAGUGUAUGAAUUAAUAUACACUAUUAUUAUUGUUGUUGUUAUUAUUAUUAUUAUUAUUAUUAUUAUUAUUAUUAUUAUUAUUAUUAUUAUUAUUAGGAUCAUUAUUAUAUAUGAUUUUCGGGAGCUUAGGGACCCACCCACAGUUAAAGGGGUAGAGGCCGGUAGUGUGACUGCUGCCACCUGGCAGUGGUAUAGCAUGAUGGAUGCUGCACUCCAGGGGCAGCACUCAAUCAGUCCGCCCCUGGUUGUAGCAGCAAACCUGACUGCCACUGCAGGUAGCACAGUCAGCACUCCAGCCUCUACCCCUUCUACUGCUGAUGAAGUCACCAGCCAGCCACAGAGGAAGAGAGGGAGGGACAGCGAUGCUGUCCUCCAGUUCCUUAAAGAGCAGGCAGAGAGGGAGGAGGAGAGGGAGGGAGAGAGAGGCCUUGGGCAGGGAGGAGGAGAGAGAGAGGGCAGCUGCAGAACCAGCAGAAAAAUAUCUUUCAUUGUUUGAAAAAUUAGUAAAUAAAUUUUAAUAAAGAUUGUUUAAAUUCACCCGAGGCAGUUUGUUCUUUAAAGCAACAGUGUAUUGGUUAUCAAACAAAACAGAAACAUUCAAAUUCCUAUAUUUUAGUGAUAUACAAUUGUUUACAGGCAUACAGUCAAAUUUGUCAAAACAAGGAAAACAAUAUAGCAAAAGAUGAACAACAUAUUUACACAUACACUAUAUUGCCAAAAGUAUUGGCUCACCCAUCCAAAUAAUCAGAACCAGGUGUUCCAAUCACUUCCAUGUCCACAGGUGUAUAAAAUCCAGCACCUAGGCUGCAGACUGCUUUUACAAACAUUUGUGAAAGAAUGUGUCACUCUCAGGAGCUCAGUGAAUUCCAGCGUGGAACUGUGAUAGGAUGCCACCUGUGCAACAAAUCCAGUUGUGACAUUUCCUGGCUCCUAAAUAUUCCACAGUCAACUGUCAGCUGUAUUAUAAGAAAGUGGAAGUGUGUAGGAACGACAGCAACUCUGCCACCAAGUGGUAGGACACGUAAACUGAUGGAGCGGGGUCAGUGGAUGCUGAGGAGCAUAGUGCCAAGAGGUGGCCAACUUUCUGCAGAGUCAAUCUCUACAGACCUUCAAACUUCAUGUGGCCUUCAGAUUAGCUCAAGAACAGUGUGCAGAGAGCUUCAUGGAAUGGGUUUCCAUGGCCGAGCAGCUGCAUCCAAGCCAUACAUCACCAAGUGCAAUGCAAAGUGUGGGAUGCAGUGGUGUAAAGCAGCCACCACUGGACUCUAGAGCAGUGGAGACGCCUUCUCUGGAGUGACCAAUCACGCUUCUCCAUCUGGCAAUCUGAUGGACCAGUCUGGGUUUGGUGGUUGCCAGGAGAACCAUAGUUGUGGGACUGCAUUGUGCCAAGUGUAAAGUUUGGUGGAGGGGGGAUUAUGGUGUGGGCUUGUUUUUCAGGAGCUGGGCUUGGACCCUUAGUUCCAGUGAAAGGAACUCUGAACGCUUCAGCAUACCAAGACAUUUUGGACAAUUCCAUGCUCCCAACUUUGUGGGAACAGUUUGGAGCUGGUCCUUCCUCUUCCAACAUGACUGUGCACCAGUGCACAAAGCAAGGUCCAUAAAGACAUGGAUGACAGAGUCUGGUGUGGAUGAACUUGACUGGCCUGCACAGAGUCCUGACCUCAACCCCAUAGAACACCUUUGGGAUGAAUUAGAGCGGAGACUGAGAGCCAGACCUUCUGGUCCAACAUCAGUGUGUGACCUCACAAAUGAGCUUCUGGAAGAAUGGUCAAAAAUUC
Long non-coding RNA from Amphiprion ocellaris (clown anemonefish), 3189 nucleotides. RefSeq lists it as uncharacterized. The record is from RefSeq and is a predicted model, not a curated record. NCBI's taxonomy places the organism in Eukaryota, Metazoa, Chordata, Actinopteri, Pomacentridae. The transcript is spliced from 2 exons.